GGCUCAGAACGAACGCUGGCGGCAUGGAUUAGGCAUGCAAGUCGAACGAGGCAGCAAUGCCGAGUGGCGGAAGGGUGAGGAACGCGUGAGUAAUCUGCCCCCUAGUUGGGAAUAACAGUUGGAAACGACUGCUAAUACCGAAUGUGGCUUAUUGGUCGCAUGACCGAUGGGCUAAAGAUUUAUCGCUAGGGGAUGAGCUCGCGUCCCAUUAGCUAGUUGGUGAGGCAACGGCUCACCAAGGCGACGAUGGGUAGCUGGUCUGAGAGGAUGGUCAGCCACACUGGGACUGAGACACUGCCCAGACUCCUACGGGAGGCUGCAGUCGAGAAUCUUGGGCAAUGCGCGAAAGCGUGACCCAGCCAAUGCCGCGUGCGGGAUGAAGGUCUUCGGAUUGUAAACCGCUGUCAACCGGGACGAACACAAUGACUGUACCGGUGAAGGAAGCCACGGCUAACUACGUGCCAGCAGCCGC
RNAcentral lists this ribosomal RNA (472 nucleotides) under uncultured bacterium. RNAcentral's name for it is "bacterial SSU rRNA". It matches the Rfam family "Bacterial small subunit ribosomal RNA", at positions 21 to 518 of the family's 1533-position model. The record is from RNAcentral.